Molecule: ribosomal RNA, 459 nt
Filed under: uncultured bacterium
Lineage: Bacteria
Description: partial 16S ribosomal RNA
Rfam family: Bacterial small subunit ribosomal RNA
Source: RNAcentral
CCUACGGGCGGCAGCAGUGAGGAAUCUUGGUCAAUGGGCGCGAGCCUGAACCAGCCAAGUCGCGUGAGGGAAGACGGUCCUAUGGAUUGUAAACCUCUUUCGUCGGGGAGCAAAAGACGCCACGCGUGGCGUUCCGAGAGUACACGAAGAAAAAGCAUCGGCAAACCCCGUGCCAGCAGCCGUGGUAAUACGGGGGAUGCGAGCGUUAUCCGGAUUCAUUGGGUUAAAAGGGUGUGAAGGCGGAAGAUCAAGCCAGCGGUAAAAUUGAGAGGCUCAACCUCUUCGAGCCGUUGAAACUGGUUUACUUGAGUGAGCGAGAGGUAUGCGGAAUGCGUGGUGUAGCGGUGAAAUGCAUAGAUAUCGCGCAGAACUCCGAUUGCGAAGGCAGCAUACCGGCGCUCAACUGACGCUCAUGCACGAAAGUGUGGGUAUCGAACAGGAUUAGAUACCCCUGUAGUC